CUAAGUUAGCUCCAAAUCGCAUGACCAAUUUAUUCUACUUGUUGAAGUUCCGAAAAAGAUGUCAAUCAGGAUGCAUCAUUCAAACAAGCUUAUGCUGAUAACUUGGCCUUGUGAGUAUUCUUGUCUUCAUAUGUCAUCGCCUCUCUGUGGAGUCUGUAUCAUCAUAGGUCCCGAUAAAAAUGAGCGGAGUUCUUAGGAUCAGAAAUGGCAUUUCCACUGAGUAGAAAUUGUGGGUUGUGGGUUGCACUAUGUAGAAUGAGGUGAAAGUAUAUAUGCCGGAAUUUUUGUGAAGCAUACUGGUUUGAACUCUCUGCUACAAGAUAUUACAUCUCUAGUAAUAAUUAUGUUUGUUGGUACAUA
Molecule: long non-coding RNA, 360 nt
Organism: Salvia splendens (bonfire salvia)
Lineage: Eukaryota; Viridiplantae; Streptophyta; Magnoliopsida; Lamiales; Lamiaceae
Exons: 2
Source: RefSeq, a predicted model, not a curated record